UACGUAGGGUGCAAGCGUUGUCCGGAAUUAUUGGGCGUAAAGAGUUCGUAGGCGGUUUGUCGCGUCCGUUGUGAAAGCUUGGGGCUCAACCCCAAGUCUGCAGCCGAUACGGGCAGGCUAGAGUUCGGUAGGGGAGACUGGAAUUCCUGGUGUAGCGGUGAAAUGCGCAGAUAUCAGGAGGAACACCGGUGGCGAAGGCGGGUCUCUGGGCCGAUACUGACGCUGAGGAGCGAAAGCGUGGGGAGCGAACAGG
Molecule: ribosomal RNA, 253 nt
Filed under: uncultured bacterium
Lineage: Bacteria
Description: partial 16S ribosomal RNA
Rfam family: Bacterial small subunit ribosomal RNA
Source: RNAcentral